Molecule: ribosomal RNA, 549 nt
Filed under: uncultured archaeon
Lineage: Archaea
Description: bacterial SSU rRNA
Rfam family: Archaeal small subunit ribosomal RNA
Source: RNAcentral
GUGCAGCAGGCGCGAAAACUUUACCAUGCGGGAAACCGUGAUAAGGGGACACCGAGUGCCAGCAUCAUAUGCUGGCUGUCCAGGUGUGUAAAAUACACCUGUCAGCAAGGGCCGGGCAAGACCGGUGCCAGCCGCCGCGGUAACACCGGCGGCCCGAGUGGUGAUCGUGAUUAUUGGGUCUAAAGGGUCCGUAGCCGGUUUGGUCAGUCCUCCGGGAAAUCUGACGGCUCAACCGUUAGGCUUUCGGGGGAUACUGCCAGGCUUGGAACCGGGAGAGGUAAGAGGUACUACAGGGGUAGGAGUGAAAUCUUGUAAUCCCUGUGAGACCACCUGUGGCGAAGGCGUCUUACCAGAACGGGUUCGACGGUGAGGGACGAAAGCUGGGGGCACGAACCGGAUUAGAUACCCGGGUAGUCCCAGCCGUAAACGAUGCUCGCUAGGUGUCAGGCAUGGCGCGACCGUGUCUGGUGCCGCAGGGAAGCCGUGAAGCGAGCCACCUGGGAAGUACGGCCGCAAGGCUGAAACUUAAAGGAAUUGGCGGGGGAGCAC